GUGGCGGCGGCAUGCUAUACAUGCAGUCGAGCGGACAGAAGGGAGCUUGCUCCCGGAUGUUAGCGGCGGACGGGUGAGUAACACGUGGGUAACCUGCCUGUAAGACUGGGAUAACUCCGGGAAACCGGAGCUAAUACCGGAUAGUUCCUUGAACCGCAUGGUUCAAGGAUGAAAGACGGUUUCGGCUGUCACUUACAGAUGGACCCGCGGCGCAUUAGCUAGUUGGUGAGGUAACGGCUCACCAAGGCGACGAUGCGUAGCCGACCUGAGAGGGUGAUCGGCCACACUGGGACUGAGACACGGCCCAGACUCCUACGGGAGGCAGCAGUAGGGAAUCUUCCGCAAUGGACGAAAGUCUGACGGAGCAACGCCGCGUGAGUGAUGAAGGUUUUCGGAUCGUAAAGCUCUGUUGUUAGGGAAGAACAAGUGCAAGAGUAACUGCUUGCACCUUGACGGUACCUAACCAGAAAGCCACGGCUAACUACGUGCCAGCAGCCGCGGUAAUACGUAGGUGGCAAGCGUUGUCCGGAAUUAUUGGGCGUAAAGGGCUCGCAGGCGGUUUCUUAAGUCUGAUGUGAAAGCCCCCGGCUCAACCGGGGAGGGUCAUUGGAAACUGGGAAACUUGAGUGCAGAAGAGGAGAGUGGAAUUCCACGUGUAGCGGUGAAAUGCGUAGAGAUGUGGAGGAACACCAGUGGCGAAGGCGACUCUCUGGUCUGUAACUGACGCUGAGGAGCGAAAGCGUGGGGAGCGAACAGGAUUAGAUACCCUGGUAGUCCACGCCGUAAACGAUGAGUGCUAAGUGUUAUGGGGUUUCCGCCCCUUAGUGCUGCAGCUAACGCAUUAAGCACUCCGCCUGGGGAGUACAGUCGCAAGACUGAAACUCAAAGGAGUUGACGGGGGCCCGCACAAGCGGUGGAGCAUGUGGUUUAAUUCGAAGCAACGCGAGAACCUUACCAGGUCUUGACAUCCUCUGACAACACUAGAGAAUAGGGCUUUCCCUUCGCGACAGAUGACAGUGUGCAUGAUUGUCGUCAGCUCUGUCGUGAGAUGUUGGGUUAGUCCGCAACGAGCGCAACCCCUUGAUCUUAG
RNAcentral lists this ribosomal RNA (1090 nucleotides) under Bacillus pumilus. RNAcentral's name for it is "bacterial SSU rRNA". It matches the Rfam family "Bacterial small subunit ribosomal RNA", at positions 36 to 1115 of the family's 1533-position model. The record is from RNAcentral. Lineage: Bacteria; Bacillati; Bacillota; Bacilli; Caryophanales; Bacillaceae.